Molecule: ribosomal RNA, 435 nt
Filed under: uncultured bacterium
Lineage: Bacteria
Description: partial 16S ribosomal RNA
Rfam family: Bacterial small subunit ribosomal RNA
Source: RNAcentral
AAUGAACGCUGGCGGUAUGCUUAACACAUGCAAGUCGAACGGACUCUUCGGAGUUAGUGGCGGACGGGUGAGUAACGCGUGAGAAUCUGGCUUUGGGUUCGGGACAACCACUGGAAACGGUGGCUAAUACCGGAUGUGCCGAGAGGUAAAAGAGAAAUUGCCUGAAGAUGAGCUCGCGUCUGAUUAGCUAGUUGGUGAGGUAAAGGCUCACCAAGGCAGCGAUCAGUAGCUGGUCUGAGAGGAUGACCAGCCACACUGGGACUGAGACACGGCCCAGACUCCUACGGGAGGCAGCAGUGGGGAAUUGUCCGCAAUGGGCGAAAGCCUGACGGAGCAAUACCGCGUGAGGGAAGAAGGCUCUUGGGUUGUAAACCUCUUUUCUUAGGGAAGAACAAAAUGACGGUACCUAAGGAAUCAGCAUCGGCUAACUCCGUG